This 279-nucleotide ribosomal RNA is filed under the name uncultured bacterium. RNAcentral describes it as "partial 16S ribosomal RNA". It matches the Rfam family "Bacterial small subunit ribosomal RNA", at positions 506 to 784 of the family's 1533-position model. The record is from RNAcentral.
GUCCAGCCGCCGCGGUAAUACGAAGGGAACUAGCGUUGUUCGGAUUUACUGGGCGUAAAGAGCAUGUAGGCGGAUUGGACAGUUGGGGGUGAAAUCCCGGAGCUCAACUCCGGAACUGCCUUCAAUACUUCCAGUCUAGAAUCUGUAAGGGGGUGGUGGAAUUCCGAGUGUAGAGGUGAAAUUCGUAGAUAUCCGGAGGAACACCAGUGGCGAAGGCGACUUCCUGGGCCAAUACUGACGCUGAGGUGCGAAAGCGUGGGGAGCAAACAGGAUUAGAUA